This 23-nucleotide non-coding RNA is filed under the name Rattus norvegicus (Norway rat). The record is from RNAcentral. Lineage: Eukaryota; Metazoa; Chordata; Mammalia; Rodentia; Muridae.
ACUGAAAUUUUGGCAUGACCUCC